Molecule: long non-coding RNA, 269 nt
Organism: Arabidopsis thaliana (thale cress)
Lineage: Eukaryota; Viridiplantae; Streptophyta; Magnoliopsida; Brassicales; Brassicaceae
Product: other RNA
Exons: 1
Source: RefSeq
CCCUCAAACUUUUCCACCUUGGAGCUCAGAAACGCCAAGCGUUUCUCCAAACGCGCUCGCUUCAUCUUCAGUUCUCCCAAACGCCCUGCCAUUUCCAUGACUCCUUUACGAAAGUCCUUUGCCUCCUUCUCCUUCAAUCUCACCUCCUCCUGUAUCUUCUUCAUUUCUUCUCUUUCAAGCAGCAUAUCCCGUUCACGCCCUUCCUUCUCCACCACCGUUGUCUCGUGUCCAUCAUAGUGGUGGGCCGCUUCAAGAAUCUCGUUCAGGAU